RNAcentral lists this ribosomal RNA (1514 nucleotides) under Klebsiella pneumoniae. RNAcentral's name for it is "bacterial SSU rRNA". It matches the Rfam family "Bacterial small subunit ribosomal RNA". The record is from RNAcentral. Lineage: Bacteria; Pseudomonadati; Pseudomonadota; Gammaproteobacteria; Enterobacterales; Enterobacteriaceae.
AGAGUUUGAUCAUGGCUCAGAUUGAACGCUGGCGGCAGGCCUAACACAUGCAAGUCGAGCGGUAGCACAGAGAGCUUGCUCUCGGGUGACGAGCGGCGGACGGGUGAGUAAUGUCUGGGAAACUGCCUGAUGGAGGGGGAUAACUACUGGAAACGGUAGCUAAUACCGCAUAAUGUCGCAAGACCAAAGUGGGGGACCUUCGGGCCUCAUGCCAUCAGAUGUGCCCAGAUGGGAUUAGCUAGUAGGUGGGGUAACGGCUCACCUAGGCGACGAUCCCUAGCUGGUCUGAGAGGAUGACCAGCCACACUGGAACUGAGACACGGUCCAGACUCCUACGGGAGGCAGCAGUGGGGAAUAUUGCACAAUGGGCGCAAGCCUGAUGCAGCCAUGCCGCGUGUGUGAAGAAGGCCUUCGGGUUGUAAAGCACUUUCAGCGGGGAGGAAGGCGNNNNNCGAUUGACGUUACCCGCAGAAGAAGCACCGGCUAACUCCGUGCCAGCAGCCGCGGUAAUACGGAGGGUGCAAGCGUUAAUCGGAAUUACUGGGCGUAAAGCGCACGCAGGCGGUCUGUCAAGUCGGAUGUGAAAUCCCCGGGCUCAACCUGGGAACUGCAUUCGAAACUGGCAGGCUAGAGUCUUGUAGAGGGGGGUAGAAUUCCAGGUGUAGCGGUGAAAUGCGUAGAGAUCUGGAGGAAUACCGGUGGCGAAGGCGGCCCCCUGGACAAAGACUGACGCUCAGGUGCGAAAGCGUGGGGAGCAAACAGGAUUAGAUACCCUGGUAGUCCACGCCGUAAACGAUGUCGAUUUGGAGGUUGUGCCCUUGAGGCGUGGCUUCCGGAGCUAACGCGUUAAAUCGACCGCCUGGGGAGUACGGCCGCAAGGUUAAAACUCAAAUGAAUUGACGGGGGCCCGCACAAGCGGUGGAGCAUGUGGUUUAAUUCGAUGCAACGCGAAGAACCUUACCUGGUCUUGACAUCCACAGAACUUUCCAGAGAUGGAUUGGUGCCUUCGGGAACUGUGAGACAGGUGCUGCAUGGCUGUCGUCAGCUCGUGUUGUGAAAUGUUGGGUUAAGUCCCGCAACGAGCGCAACCCUUAUCCUUUGUUGCCAGCGGUUAGGCCGGGAACUCAAAGGAGACUGCCAGUGAUAAACUGGAGGAAGGUGGGGAUGACGUCAAGUCAUCAUGGCCCUUACGACCAGGGCUACACACGUGCUACAAUGGCAUAUACAAAGAGAAGCGACCUCGCGAGAGCAAGCGGACCUCAUAAAGUAUGUCGUAGUCCGGAUUGGAGUCUGCAACUCGACUCCAUGAAGUCGGAAUCGCUAGUAAUCGUAGAUCAGAAUGCUACGGUGAAUACGUUCCCGGGCCUUGUACACACCGCCCGUCACACCAUGGGAGUGGGUUGCAAAAGAAGUAGGUAGCUUAACCUUCGGGAGGGCGCUUACCACUUUGUGAUUCAUGACUGGGGUGAAGUCGUAACAAGGUAACCGUAGGGGAACCUGCGGUUGGAUCACCU